UUUCUCUUCCCCUUUCUUUCCUCUUCCUGCCCGUCCCCUUCAUUUCCAGUUAGACAAGCCUUCUGCCACAAAGCCACAUACCCAUCCCCUCGCACACUCCUUUCUGAGUGCCAUCUUCUAGAGCCCUCUGUGGUUCAGUCCCAACCUCAUCAGCUUCUCUCAGGGACCUCUGGGUAGUCGGGUUGGUAGCCACUCGUGAUGUCCAUGAAAAUGGAUCAGAUCCUCUGAUCCUACUCCUGAAAAGAAGACACAGGGAUGGAGAGCAGAUGCUGGAAGACUGAGAACCUCUUCCAGACUUUCCUCCCUGGCCCUCUCUGCUUUGCGGGGGCUCACCCAGGGUGGGAUAAGGUUGAGGUCCCAUUGGUUGAGGGCUGCUUUCUAGAAGUCCAAGGGAUGGAUAGUUGUGUCCUUUUGUGCUGUGGUCACAGAGUUGUAGCAGGGCUGAUUCUUGAGCUUCUAGAAUAAUCUAGAUAGGCUACUGUCCAGUAGGAAUGAUAGAGCCAGGCUCUCCUAAUGCCCCUCUUAGGUUAGGCCUGUCUUGGUUCUCAUGAACCAUUUUAGAGAUGAAUUCUGUUUCUUCCACAAGAGUCUGUUUCUUCUCUGUCAUUCUCUCACUCUUUUCCCCUUUGUCUUCCUUUACCUCUUUCUGUGCAACAAGCAGCUGCAGGAAGCCUUCUCUGUGCCAAGUGCGGGCAUAGAGUGGUGAGGGUACACAGAGCCUGGCUCAAAUGGUUUUAUGUUUCAGUGGGGGCAACCAAAUGAGGACACAGGUGAGAGAAGGCGAGGGCCAGGGAUGGCGUGGAUAGAGCCCUACCCAACCUAGAGCCUCCUGGAACACCGGAAGGGAAGCUUGUUUGGAAGCAUGACUACAGCUGAUGGGAUCCUCUAUGGUACAGGCCUGCUGUCAUUUUGUCUCAUGUUUGAAGAGGGAAGACUCUUAUCAAUAUGUGUUGUUCCAAACAAAAGGCAGGGCAUGUGCCAUGUGCCCAGCGUGGAGAUGGAGCUCCACGUGCUUACCUUGUCUCUCCUCAGUUGGCAUGUGACCUCACUAAACCUGGAAAGCUAAUUGGGAAAUACUGCUGACCUCAGAAGAGAAGGCUUAGAAUUGGCUUCUGGUGGAGCAGUGAGAUGUUAAUUCUGCAUGUGGGUUGUUGUGGAGAGAGCUCCUGGCUUCCUGGGCUGUUUUUUGGAUCACAUGGUUUUGGAUCUCAUGGACAGCAGGUAGCAGUGUGAGGUGGUCUACAUGGUAGUCACCAAGACCUCCCCCCAUGUAGGUUAUUGGGCUACAUGGACUGGUGCAUCGCUAUAGCCCCAUUGGGCUCCUCAGACUUUGAAUUUGGGGUGACUGUGGCCUCUGCUGCUCACACACUUCACUGCAAGUUCCUGAGAGCUACUAGCCAGAGACUCUAGCUAAGUCUCACAUGUCUGGAUUCCUGACUCACAGAGACUGUGACGUAGUAAGUGCUUGUGUGAAGGCAGUAGAUCAGGGUCCCUAAACCUUCGUUCACUGAUUUUUGUAAAUAAAGUUUUAUUGGUUGCUA
This is a long non-coding RNA of Onychomys torridus (southern grasshopper mouse), 1541 nucleotides long. RefSeq lists it as uncharacterized. The record is from RefSeq and is a predicted model, not a curated record. The transcript is spliced from 3 exons. NCBI's taxonomy places the organism in Eukaryota, Metazoa, Chordata, Mammalia, Rodentia, Cricetidae.